CAGGGAAGGAGAGGAACAAACGGAGAACGAUUGGAGCCUUGAGAGAGGCUGCCCAAGGAAAGGGCUAAAUUAGAAGAGAAGGGAGGGGAAGGCGGCGAGAGGCUGCAGAGCCCGCGUGUGGUGCAGGCAGGCACUCCAGCAGCUCCGUGUCUUCCAGAGACAAAGGCCCGAGGAUGAGGAAGAGGAGGGGGAGCAGGCAAGGGAGGCAGUGGCAGGGAGGGGAGGCCAGGCAGCCUGGACGCCGAGCUCAGGCCCCAGACCCAGGCAGGCGAGAGACCAGCCCCCAUCUAGCCAAGGCUCGAGCCUGGGAAGAGGGGAGUGCGCUCCAAACUUAAGAGGAAAAAGUCUGCCAGCUGCCCUUGGGGCUGCCACGACAGAUAAAACCUCAUCCAGGCGCCAGAGAACACCCUGCACACGAAUGCACAGCAGCGAGCUAAAAAUACUGGCUUGAGAGGGAAGAGGGGGGGAGGAGGGGGCAGGAAAGAAGAGGAGGAGGAUGGGGAGGAGGGAGGAGGAUGGAGAGGAGGUGGCGAGCAGGGAGGAGGGUGGGGAGGAGUUGAGGAGCAGGGCUGCAGGUCCAGGCUUAGGCAGCCUCAGUUUUCCAGAGAACCCAGUUUUGCAGAGGCGCAGAUGCAGACGGAUGACUGCUUUGGGAACUGCAAACCACUGGCCCCUGCGGCCCCUCUCUUGGACGGGGGUGAGGUCACUGGAAGAGUGGGCCUAGGCUGGGGCCUGGCUGCUUGGAGAAGACCCACCAGCGACCUAGCAGGGCUUAGAGCUGGGGCUGGGCCCCGACAUUCCAAGUCAAUUCAGGACUCUCCUGGAGGAGAAGGGACCCAGAUUGUCCCCUGGAGUCACCGGCAUCUACGGCGACCUUCCCCAGCCGGUCUGCCCUGGAUCCUGGGGAUAGAGGGACAGCAUGGCAGGAAGUAGCCCACGCCACCUGGACAGGAACAAACCCACAGCCACCCGAGGAAGAGAGAGAAUGCCUGCAUGAUAAUCGUGGGGGCGGGGGCUCAGGGAGGCCUCUUUGAGGAGAUGGUCUUAACAUCUGAGAACCGAGAAGAAUUCAGCCUCACAAAACCCAGGGACCCGCGGUCCCCAGGAGGGAGAUGGGGCUGGGAGACGCAGUGGAGUGGCCAGGCCAGGAGUGGCCCGCAGGAUUGGAGCCCAGGCCUGAACCUGGCAGGCCACCAGGGAGUCUCCUGCUUGCCCCAGAGCCAGUGUCAGUGAGAGCUGGGUGGCGGGGCCAGCGGGAGGCUGAGGGACCCAGGGUCCGGGAGUGUGGGAAGUGAGAGCAGCCUCUCCUUGGUUCCUCGGCAGCCCGGGGCCUCACCCCUGCAAGGUCUGGGUGGCCACCGCUUGCAGGGCCGUCCCUCUGGGAGUGGGUAGAGGGGACAGGGGACCCUGGGACAACCUUUGCCCCUCCGAAGGCAAGGCCUUGUCAGGUUCAUGCUCCAGCCCUUUCCCAUCUGGGCUCCUCCUGUGUGCUGGGAGCACGUGGCCUUGUGAGAAGAGGGCAGCCUGGUGGAUGGGCGAACACAGCACAGCGAGGUCUGAGCCCCCGGCUGCUCUCUCCAGCCCUGAGAACGCAGGCUGCUCCAUAAGCUCUGUGGGCCUCAGGCUCCUGGUCUCUAGAAUGCAGCCAUGGGCAGGCUACCCAGAAGUGAGAUGCCUGCCAAAAAAAGCCCUGUGCCCAGCCCACAGCCAGCACUUGGUUCAUUGGGCCCCAGCUCAAACCCCCCCUGAGAGGCCUGCCCUGAGCACCAUCCCUGUCCCUGUGUGCCCUUUCAGUCACAUUUCAGCAGCACGCAGCCACCCACCAAGGCUGAGCCUCUUCAAAUUCGCUUCGAUGUUUGCCGCGCACUGACUCAGGUCUCCAGGCCUCAGUUUCCUCACCUGCGAACUAGGGGCGGUCUCUGGGGACUGUUCUAAGGUGAGCUGGAGGCCACAGGCUCUGGCCUGGAGCACUUCGCUCUCCGUGACUCUCUUCUCCUGACGUCUGUGUGUCCCCUCACGUCUCAUGGUACCGCGUCUCCUCCGCAGGGCCUGUCGUGUGUGACGCUGUGUGCCACCCCACACAUCUUCAGCCCCGGAGAAAGAUUCUGGUGGUGGAAGCUGUUGAGUAAAUGCUCACUUGAGUUUCUCCCACUGCCUUGGAGUCCCUCUUCUGUUUUUCUCCAAAUUCUCUUUGUUGACAGAGUACACAGUUCAAAACCCCACACAGGGAUGAACGAGAGGACGCCCAGGUCCAGCCCAGCAGUGGCUUCCUGUCCCCUCCACCUCUCUCUUUCCCUCUGCCACUGCCAUCUACCGGGACGCUCUUCCUGGGCCCCUGUGGGACAAGGACUGCCUGUGGCUGAGGUCCCCUCCAUGCAGAACAUACAGCACAGGUGUGUCCCAAAGAGGAACAGAGAGAAGGAGGAGGAGGGUCCAAGAGAGACUUGGAAAUGAAUGCCAGGAAGCUCAGGCGCUGGACGUGCGUUUGGGGCGCCUGGCCUUCCUUGUGUAUUUCUCCUGCUGUCUGUAUAACCAUUUAAUGCAAUAAACGAAAACCAGCCCUCGUU
Molecule: non-coding RNA, 2567 nt
Organism: Macaca mulatta (Rhesus monkey)
Lineage: Eukaryota; Metazoa; Chordata; Mammalia; Primates; Cercopithecidae
Source: RefSeq, a predicted model, not a curated record